This 422-nucleotide ribosomal RNA is filed under the name uncultured bacterium. RNAcentral's name for it is "bacterial SSU rRNA". It matches the Rfam family "Bacterial small subunit ribosomal RNA", at positions 29 to 433 of the family's 1533-position model. The record is from RNAcentral.
ACGAACGCUGGCGGCGUGCCUAACACAUGCAAGUCGAGCGGGAAAGUUCCCUUCGGGGAGCGAGUACAGCGGCGAACGGGUGAGUAACACGUAGGUAACCUACCCUGGAGAUCGGGAUAACCUGCCGAAAGGCGGGCUAAUACCGGAUAAGACCACGAGGGCUGCGGCCCUUGAGGAAAAAGAUGGCCUCUGCUUGCAAGCUAUCACUCUGGGAUGGGCCUGCGCGCCAUUAGCUAGUUGGUGAGGUAACGGCUCACCAAGGCUGAGAUGGCUAGCUGGUCUGAGAGGAUGGCCAGCCACACUGGGACUGAGACACGGCCCAGACUCCUACGGGAGGCAGCAGUGGGGAAUAUUGCGCAAUGGGCGAAAGCCUGACGCAGCGACGCCGCGUGGGUGAUGAAGGCCUUCGGGUCGUAAAGCCC